This 293-nucleotide ribosomal RNA is filed under the name uncultured bacterium. RNAcentral's name for it is "partial 16S ribosomal RNA". It matches the Rfam family "Bacterial small subunit ribosomal RNA", at positions 333 to 642 of the family's 1533-position model. The record is from RNAcentral.
CACGGCCUACGGGACGCAGCAGUGGGGAAUAUUGCACAAUGGGGGAAACCCUGAUGCAGCGACGCCGCGUGAGUGAAGAAGUAUUUCGGUAUGUAAAGCUCUAUCAGCAGGGAAGAAGAAAGACGGUACCUGACUAAGAAGCCCCGGCUAACUACGUGCCAGCAGCCGCGGUAAUACGUAGGGGGCAAGCGUUAUCCGGAUUUACUGGGUGUAAAGGGAGCGUAGACGGCUGUGCAAGUCUGGAGUGAAAGCCCAGGGCUCAACCCUGGGACUGCUUUGGCAACUGUGGAGCU